AAAGUUCGGAUAUGGAGCAUUCCUGAUCAUCAAGUUGUUGACUGGAACGAUCUUCAUGAGAUGGUCACAGCUGCCUGCUAUACACCGGAUGGGCAGGGUGCAUUGGUUGGUUCAUACAAAGGAACAUGUUGCUUAUACAACACACAUGAUAACAAACUGCAGCAGAGGCGUGAAAUCAAUCUGAAGAACAG
Molecule: non-coding RNA, 191 nt
Organism: Camelina sativa (false flax)
Lineage: Eukaryota; Viridiplantae; Streptophyta; Magnoliopsida; Brassicales; Brassicaceae
Source: RefSeq, a predicted model, not a curated record